RNAcentral lists this ribosomal RNA (519 nucleotides) under uncultured bacterium. RNAcentral's name for it is "partial 16S ribosomal RNA". It matches the Rfam family "Bacterial small subunit ribosomal RNA", at positions 28 to 523 of the family's 1533-position model. The record is from RNAcentral.
GACGAACGCUGGCGGCGUGCUUAACACAUGCAAGUCGAACGGACUAUUUCAUUUCGGUGGGAUGGUUAGUGGCGAACGGGUGAGUAACGCGUAGACAACCUACCUCUUAGAUGGGGACAACAUCGCGAAAGCGGUGCUAAUACCGAAUGAAGUGACUUUCCUGCAUGGGAGAGAUACUAAAGGUGGCCUCUAUUUAUAAGCUACCACUGAGAGAAGGGUCUGCGUCUGAUUAGCUAGUUGGCGGGGUAACGGCCCACCAAGGCGACGAUCAGUAGCCGGUCUGAGAGGAUGAACGGCCACAUUGGGACUGAGACACGGCCCAAACUCCUACGGGAGGCAGCAGUGGGGAAUCUUGGGCAAUGGGCGCAAGCCUGACCCAGCCAUGCCGCGUGUGCGAAGAAGGCCUUCGGGUUGUAAAGCACUUUCAGUGGCGAAGAAAAGCCAGGGGCUAAUACCCCCAGGUCUUGACGUUAGCCACAGAAGAAGCACCGGCUAUCUCCGUGCCAGCAGCCGCGGUAA